This is a non-coding RNA of Spodoptera litura, 146 nucleotides long. Lineage: Eukaryota; Metazoa; Arthropoda; Insecta; Lepidoptera; Noctuidae. The record is from RefSeq and is a predicted model, not a curated record.
UAAUUGGUAGAAUAAUUAUUACAGCUGCUAUGACUAAAAGUGCUUAAAUUUCUUUUAGAUCUUGAUUACCAGCUGCUAUAGCUGCUCCUACUCCUGUUUCAGCUUUAGUUCAUUCUUCUACUUUAGUGACAGCGGGGGUUUAUUCA